Molecule: long non-coding RNA, 6463 nt
Filed under: Homo sapiens (human)
Lineage: Eukaryota; Metazoa; Chordata; Mammalia; Primates; Hominidae
Description: HSALNT0317342
Source: RNAcentral
GGUGCUGGGAGUAGGGCGCAAGAUGUCGGCGGAUGCAGCUCCGAGGAGGUAGGCAGUGGGAGCCGGCGUUCAGUCCGGCCCGUGCCAACAGUGGUUCCUCUCUCCCCCGUAGUUCGAGGAGACCACGCGCUGCCCCUCUGGCACGAUCGUGGAUGAACCCCCUGGCAACUGAAAUGGGAAAGGCAGCGCCCCCGACUCUGGGGACUGGACCGAAGUCCACGGUAGUGACAGCUGCCAGACCCUGAGGAGAGGACGAGAAGACCCGAGGCCUCUGCUACGAACACUGGCAGCCGAUGGAAAAUUCAGACGGAUUUGGGACAGUAUGCAGAGUUCUCCAAGCGACAGAUUAACAGAGGCUCUUGAAGAAUAACUGCGUAAUCACGUGUUCUGCUCAAAAGAAGGCCUGAAUGCCCAGUGCCUUAUUUGGCUUUCAGGGUUGGUGAAAGAAAAAGCAAAGUAGAUGCUUUCUAAUGCUAAGUCAUUUAAUGUAGCACCAUUCCUUGAACUUCUUUCAUCUCUAAGGUCGUCCCUUUCACCUGAUGAUGACCUUUGGGCCAUCGUACAGGCAUGUGUAAACUUGGAGAUCUUCCUCAACAUUGCACCAUAUCUUGGGUUCAUUCAAGGCAGAGUCUCCUUGCAAAAGCAUUCUAAAACAAUGUAAAGUCGAAGAGAGUAGAGCAAUACCUCCAUAGUUGGAAAAUGUGGAGGAGGCCAAUUAAGGGACAGAAAAAGAAGUGCAGAGAAUCUUGGAAUUGUUGCAAAAUUAUUCUGGAGAUAUUUCUAAGUCUCCUCUAUCCUUUUCCUUAGUGAUUAAUACAGGUUUUUAUAUUAAGUGGACAGUAAAAUCCAAACAGAAAGAGGUAUAUGUCGUAUAAUGAAGCCUAUGUUCAAAGUAUAUCUGAAAUUUGUUUUUAUAAUGUCUUUCUUGAGAGCUUAUAAAGAUGUCAGUAUUCUGUGGGAAACAAAUUGGCACAUGCAUAAAAGAGAAAAAAUGAAAAAAAUCAGGCCCAACUUUCAGUUUACAGAUGAGGAAACUGUGACAUAGAAAAGGAAAUGACAAAGAUCACACUGAAUCAGACCUGGGAACUGGAGCCCAGCCAUGCUCCUUGGCCCAGUGCCUCUUCUUAUUCUAGGAGCUCAUACCCCUUUGAAAGAAACAUAAUAUGAAUGUGUCUUCAAAUGAUGCUCAUAAAUCUCUUCAUCAUACUGAGGGAGGGAGAUAAGGGGAUUAGUUCUUCAGGAUCUAGACAGGCUUUCAAGAAAAUCUUUAGCUGGGUGCGGUGGCUCAUUCGUGUAAUCCCAGCGCUUUGGGAGGCUGAGGCAGGUGGAUCACCUGAGGUCAGGAGUUCCAGAUCAGGCUGGCCAACAGCGUCUCUACUAAAAAUACAAAAAUUAGCCAGGCAUGGUGGCGGGAGCCUGUAAUCCCAGCUACUCGGGAGGCUGAGGCAGGAGAAUCGCUUGAACCUGGGAGGCGGAGGUUGCAGUGAAGUGAGAUCGUGCCAUUGCACUCCAGGGCAACGAGUGAAACUCCAUCUCAAAAAAAAAAAAAAAAUCAUCAUCAUCAUCAUCUUAGCAGAGCUCUCGCUAAAUGAUAAAGACUUGGCAACUGAUAUCCUUUUUUUCAGAGAACUUAAGUAGAGACUGGAUAAUCACUAAUUGGGGUUGUGUUUAAGGGCAUUCAAACCUCUGAAAUCUCUUCCAUCUGCAGGUCUAAUUAUUUGGUUACUCUUUCAGUACAUGUGUGCAGGAAGCAUGGGGGGAAAGAAAACUAAUCCCUCUCCAAAGUCUUCUUUGAAUAGGUAUUAUGUUUGCAUUUUCAUACAUGUUAGUUCACUUAGUCUUCACCAUAGGCUUUCUAGGUUGGUAUUAUUCUUAGUCUACCUAAGAAGUUCACAAAGGUUAGGUGACAUGCUCCAAGCCACACAGAUGAUAGGCGGCACAACCAGAUGAUACUACAGGUCUCCAGAUGAGUGAGCCAAUGAUUACAUAGUUUGUUCCCCAGCCCCUCCCCAGUGUAGGUAAAGUGCCUGCACUGCUCACUGGGUCAUCAGAGCAAGUUGCUCCCACUGCCCUCUUGGUCUAACGGCUAGAAACAAAGCUGCAACAGAGGCCCACUCCUACUAGGAGACAGGCAUUUUAAUUGGCACCUCCUUACAAAGGCUCCAGUGUUCUAGAGCUUUGCAUACAGGAAGAUUCUCGUUGAACAAUGAAGCCAAACCUCGCUUCCAAAAUUCCCAGUUUGGUAGUUCACUGUGGAUGAAGAGGCCGGAGACACCCUUAGACAAGCUGGGACCGUGAUGAUAGGAACCAGUUUGUGAAGGGAGGAGGCUGGGCUAACAGGAUCUAGGGAGAUAGAUGAUAUCUGGACCUUAGGUAGUUCGUGUUACUCAAAGUCAGCAAGGUUUUUGUUGUUUUUUGAGACAGUCUUGUUAUGUUGCCCAGCCUGGAGUGCAGCAGUGCGAUCUCAGCUCGCUGCAACCUCCACCCCGUGGGUUCAAGCAAUUCUUGUGCCUCAGCCUCCUGAGUAGCUGGGACUACAGGUGCGGGCCGCCACACUUGGCUAAUUUUUUGUACUUUUAGUAGAGAUGGAGUUUCACCAUGUUGGCCAGGCUGGUCUUGAAGUCCUGUCCUCAAGUGAUCUGCCUGCCGCAGCUUACCACAAGUGCUGGGAUUACAGGUGUGAGCCACUGCACCUGGCCAAGAUCAUUUGAUGUUCUUGGGUGAAUGGCCACUUUCACCUGGAUCCCACCAAUUUUUGGUGCCCUAGGGAGCAUGAUCCAGAGUUCCCUCAAGACAGAGGAUGUGCUAAAGGCAAACUCCAGAGGUCAUCCUAUCCCCAUGCCUUCCGCCUUUCUAAAGAGAAGCUCUUCUGCCCUGCUGUUACCACUCAGUACUCUAGAUUAAACCUGUUCCCCACGUUCAUUCUGUACCCAUGACUAUAUUUCUGCUUCCUGGAAAGUUGUAGCCAUAGGAAUGAAAAACUCACCAAUCAGUUGUGGUCUUCCUGAGGCAAGUCAGUCACCUUCCUACUCUGGUAUCUUCCAUGGCUACCAGCUGGCCACAGAACCAAGCACUGACUCACCAGCCUCCAGUCUGGUUCCUUUUCAGCCUUUUUGCCACCCCUACAGCCCAUACUACAUCAUCCAUUCUGGCCAUCUCAGAUUCUUCCUUGCUAGCUCCCACCUUUCCCUGCAUCCAGUCCUCUGUACUAUUUCAUCUAUUUGAACACUCUUUUCUCCCUGCAUCCUGGGUCUCCAUUCAAAUCUUCCUCUUCCCUGGAAGUACAGCUUCAGUGGUUAACAUCACAAAGCAAAGCUGACUUCAGCAAACUUUCCAAGACAACCAGGGACCAACACAGUUCAGAUUAAAGGGGAUAAAUAAAGUGGCUUUAAGAUCACUUGUAGUUCAGAGGUCACCCAGGGGAUUAGGAUCUAUGCAGAGACCUGCAGAGCCACGCUGCUUCCCCAAGGGACCCCCUUCAUGCUGCUGGAACUUGCCCUACCCCUCAGGAGAAACUGGGCUGCUGUAGCUGCGUCACGCAGGCGGCUGUGGGCCAGCCCGGAGCAAAACUGUGUUGCUUGGCAUUUCUCCACUUCCUCUCGUGGCCGACGUCAUUCUGUGACUGUGCAGGGAUUCAUGCUCGCCAUUGCACUCCACAGUGAGAUACUUGAAUUGAUUUAAAAUUUAUUCACCCCAGUGUUCACUCCCACCUUAGCCCCAUUCCAUGCGCCCUUACCCUUACUCAUCGCAGUAUCAAAAUAACUCCCAAAUGGGAUUGCUGUGCUUGAACACCUCCCAUCAUGCCUCUUACCUUCUGCAUGCAUUUAGUUAGUUCCUGAAGCAUACAGCCCCCUCACCUGCAAGCCCCGCCUCAGCGCACACCCUUGCCAGGUUGGAGGAAGUCCUGGUACCCGGAGCAGUUUGCUUUGUUUUUGCAGUGUCAGUGAUCUCACAAGCACUUGGUUGGCCACACAGUCCUAUCGAUAACUUCCAGCAGAUAACCCAAGUGGGUGACUGGGGGGUGGAAGCCAGGUCUCGGUUCCUGUGUGUGACCCAAGGCCCCCCAGCACAGGGCCCACCCUCUCAUCUGGCUCAGCCAGGUCUUGCAGAAUGGGCUCUGCUGAGAUCUAACCAGACACAUUUGCUAUCUGUUAGGUGAGCUCAUUCCUGGAACCUAGCAGGUAUUCCGUUCAUGGCUGACUCUCAAGGGAAUGAAGGGAAAAGGAAGAGCGGGUCUGAGAUCCUUUGGAUUAUCUUUACGAAGCAAAAGCUUCUGUGAACUGUGAUCUUCAGAACGAAUGCUGGGCCUAUCCAGGUCUGUCCGCAGUACCCAAAGUCGUAGCUCCGUGAUGAGCUAUGAUGUAGCCCAGCCACACUCAGUGACGGCUCCUGGUUCCUCACUUGCCAGGGCAGCUUCAGUUCCUGCCGCGGUGUCAGUGCAGAUUGAUUCCCGCUGCGUUACUGAACGAACUCCUGACCCUGGGCUCUGAGCUGAUGAGCUGGCUCCAGAAGGUGUUAAUCAUCAUCACUCAGGUGUGCUGUCCUCACAGAGUCCUGGUGCACCUGGGAUCCCAGUAGCUCCACAUUUUCUUUGCUGCCUUCGAGGUUCACAUCUUCAGGGUCCCACUAUGGAGAAAAGAUGCAAAGGGUAGCUGGGUGGAACGGAUAGAUGCUUCUCAUCUGUCAUAACCCCUGACCCAAACAAAAGCUCCAAUCUUGGUUCUCAUGAUCCAGGCACAGACAAGGACAAAAGGGUAAGGACAAGUUACCCAGGCCUGUGUUUCUGGGACCUAAGGAGGCAAGCAUAACUUUACAUCAAGCAACUAAUGAACAACCACCCUAAACAUAACAGCUUCACUUUCCUUCCCGCCCUCAUUCUCCACUCUUCUCUGCCUCUACCAAGUCCUUAUCUAGUGACACUGAGUCAUGUUCUCCUUAUCCUGACUCCAUGCCUAACUCAUUCCUGGAAAAAACCAGGCAAACUUAAUCCUUUUUUAUUUUUUUAAGACAGGGUCUUGCGGUGUCACCCAGGCUAGAGUACAGUGGUGCAAUCAUAGCUCACUGCUGCCUCAAACUCCUAGACUCAAGCAAUCCUCCUGCUUCAGCCUCCCGAGUAGCUGGGACUACAGGUAGAUGAUGGGCUCCACGGGAACAGAGCAAACGUUCGCUCCUGCUCCUACACGGUGUUUCCUCUAAACCUGAGGCUCAGCCGACUUGUCAUCACUUAAAACCCAAUUCAGAGCGGGGGGGCACUGCCAGUGAAUAGUUCAUCACCGACUCAGUUUCCCCAUGUGUAUGCUGUGGUAUUGGAUCAGCAACGAGAUAAGAAGAUCUCUCCCAUUUCCAAGCGUCUAUGAUGAUUCUGAGGCACAAGGUCACAUUUGACAGUACUAGGAAACCCAGGAAACAAGAAGCAAAGAUGACAAAGGCUGUGUCUGCCUGGGCAGACGAUCUAUUUGGACAAGAUAAUAGACCCAGGCAUGGACAUGCUCUCCAAGAAAGAUGCCCUGACAGCUGCUCACACUGAAGCUGAAUCGAACAUUCCAAUCCUUAGAGGUUCCAGCGAAGAUCUUGAAGUCUCCCUGAGCCAUUGACACAAUGGCCAUGCCAUCCCAGUGAUAAAACACAAAUUGUGGCCUUGUUUUGGACAGAAAUAAAGAGCCCAGUUUGUUAGUGAUUUACUGAUAAUAACUGAAUCGAGUACUAAUACUUGGCGAUUUUAAAAGCCAUCAUGUUAAAAAGACCACCUGAUUCCCAGUGACCCUGCAGUGACUGGGUUUGGGCAGCUCGUCCCCUGCACCUGUUUGGGGCUGUGCCAGCCACUUCCAGUGAGAACAUCGCAUUAACUUGCGGUCGCAGACCUGGCUGGACCCCUUGAACCAAAUUCCUUUCUGACCUUAUCAGACCCCAAAUAAAAGAGCUCACCAGGCCCCUCAGCCUACGUGACCCACCUGCCCAGUGAAAAAAGUAGGGCCCUGUUCUGUUCUCUGAGGAUGGUCAGUGUGCUCUUUGAUGAAAACGGUUUCUAAGCUGAGGCCUGAGACCUAGAUCAUUGUUCUCACAGCGUGUGCUUGACCAGCCACACCAGAAGCACCCAGGCUGCUGGCUAAAAACACUGAUGCUGGGGCCCACCCUAGCCCCUGGGUAGGGGGUAGAGACCUAAGGUUUGGCAUUUUUACAAGCUCCUAGGGUGAUUCUUAGAUGCCCUGAUGAUUGAGAACCACUGCUCGAGCUUCUUAAAUGGCUGCUGAAGAAUGAUUCUUGCCAACCGUGACCAGUUCAGCAGCCUGCAGACAGAAACCUGUCACUUUGAUCAGGGUAUGGUCCGGAAGAGUAAGGCGGGGGACCAGACUCUCAACUGUGACUGGUUUACCAAGUGCCUGCCACCCUAUGCGGUGGGCUGGGGCCAGUCUAUUGGUCCCUCACGGAUGUUUCCUUCAAAAUCCCACUGGCAGAAAAUGUG